This 1195-nucleotide ribosomal RNA is filed under the name uncultured bacterium. RNAcentral describes it as "bacterial SSU rRNA". It matches the Rfam family "Bacterial small subunit ribosomal RNA", at positions 8 to 1202 of the family's 1533-position model. The record is from RNAcentral.
AGAGUUUGAUCCUGGCUCAGAUUGAACGCUGGCGGCAGGCUUAACACAUGCAAGUCGAGCGGGGAAAUGUAGCUUGCUACAUUACCUAGCGGCGGACGGGUGAGUAAUGCUUAGGAAUCUGCCUAUUAGUGGGGGACAACAUUUCGAAAGGAAUGCUAAUACCGCAUACGCCCUACGGGGGAAAGCAGGGGAUCUUCGGACCUUGCGCUAAUAGAUGAGCCUAAGUCGGAUUAGCUAGUUGGUGGGGUAAAGGCCUACCAAGGCGACGAUCUGUAGCGGGUCUGAGAGGAUGAUCCGCCACACUGGGACUGAGACACGGCCCAGACUCCUACGGGAGGCAGCAGUGGGGAAUAUUGGACAAUGGGGGGAACCCUGAUCCAGCCAUGCCGCGUGUGUGAAGAAGGCCUUUUGGUUGUAAAGCACUUUAAGCGAGGAGGAGGCUACCUAGAUUAAUACUCUGGGAUAGUGGACGUUACUCGCAGAAUAAGCACCGGCUAACUCUGUGCCAGCAGCCGCGGUAAUACAGAGGGUGCAAGCGUUAAUCGGAUUUACUGGGCGUAAAGCGUGCGUAGGUGGCCAAUUAAGUCAAAUGUGAAAUCCCCGAGCUUAACUUGGGAAUUGCAUUCGAUACUGGUUGGCUAGAGUAUGGGAGAGGAUGGUAGAAUUCCAGGUGUAGCGGUGAAAUGCGUAGAGAUCUGGAGGAAUACCGAUGGCGAAGGCAGCCAUCUGGCCUAAUACUGACACUGAGGUACGAAAGCAUGGGGAGCAAACAGGAUUAGAUACCCUGGUAGUCCAUGCCGUAAACGAUGUCUACUAGCCGUUGGGGUCUUUGAGACUUUAGUGGCGCAGCUAACGCGAUAAGUAGACCGCCUGGGGAGUACGGUCGCAAGACUAAAACUCAAAUGAAUUGACGGGGGCCCGCACAAGCGGUGGAACAUGUGGUUUAAUUCGAUGCAACGCGAAGAACCUUACCUGGUCUUGACAUAGUAAGAACUUUCCAGAGAUGGAUUGGUGCCUUCGGGAACUUACAUACAGGUGCUGCAUGGCUGUCGUCAGCUCGUGUCGGGAGAUGUUGGGUUAAGUCCCGCAACGAGCGCACCCUUUUCCUUAUUUGCCACCGGGUUAAGCCGGGAACUUUAAGGAACUGCCAGUGACAACUGGAAGAAGGGGGGACAAACUCAAGUCUCAUGGCCCU